ACAGCAGCCGCCACGGUAAUACGAAGGGUGCAAGCGUUACUCGGAAUUACUGGGCGUAAAGCGUACGUAGGUGGUGGUUUAAGUCCGUUGUGAAAGCCCUGGGCUCAACCUGGGAAUUGCAGUGGAUACUGGGUCACUAGAGUGUGGUAGAGGAUAGUGGAAUUUCCAGUGUAGCAGUGAAAUGCGUAGAGAUCGGAAGGAACAUCUGUGGCGAAGGCGACUAUCUGGGCCAACACUGACACUGAGACACGAAAGCGUGGGGAGCAAACAGGAUUAGAUACCCCAGUAGUCCCUGUCUCUUAUAC
Molecule: ribosomal RNA, 305 nt
Filed under: uncultured bacterium
Lineage: Bacteria
Description: partial 16S ribosomal RNA
Rfam family: Bacterial small subunit ribosomal RNA
Source: RNAcentral